CUCCUUUCAGAUUGGUUGUGCAAGUUGCAUUCUGACUCCUUGCAGGAGGGAAUGAUUAGAUGAUUGUUUGCCAGUGUAUGUUUUGGCCAAGCUAAUCAGCUGCCCCAGGACUGCACAUGAAAUACAUUAUAGAGGGUUUUCUCUCAGACCACAGGGUUGGCAAUUCCGAACAAUUCUGCCUGAUAACCUACUUACUGCCAGUGCCCAACUACAUCUGAUGCUGCGACUUCUUGGACAAAGCAAAAACUUUCUGCUGACUAACAUCUCCACUUUGCCCCAACCUGCUGGAUGCUCUGGAAACAAGGUUUGGAAUGUCACUACUUCUCCGUGAGCGGAAUUCCAUAACCCACCAGCUCCCAGGAGAUGGUUUGAAUUCCACUGAAGAAGUGAAUUUUACCAGGCGCUGGGGAUAAAGCCAAAAAGAAGCAUUAGAAAUACGUACGUAAAAAAUGGGAGAGAAGAUGUUGCUCCUAACUUGAUAAUGCACAGAUGCUAGCACUGCUGUGUAAAAUUCAUGCAAGUCUUCCUUGGCAACUGCAGUGAAAUGAAACCUAAAGUGACAGCCUGAGACAAAGAGGAAAGCCAAAGCACGCUGUGCUGUGCAGGGCCUGGCUGAGUGGGUGACGUCGCUCAGAGAGCCACCAUUCGAGUGUCACAGCUGUCACCAUCCAUUCCCUGCACAUCAAAUCCAUUCUGCUUCUGUCUGGGGCAGGAGCUUGUUACCUCAGAAGCUGACGAGAACCAGAGAUUUUUUUUCAUAUUUCCUCUUUGCCUCAACUACGUGCUGUCAGUUAGGAAAUCCACAGCUCAGUAUUGACAUGUGUGAUUCCCAGUUUGACUUCUGCGCUGGAGUCCAACUGGAACUGUGCACCAGUGAAGGUCUGCUUCCCAUAAAGGGCCUCUCUGAAAUGGGGCACUCAAGAGACAAAGGCCUGUUCAUAUAUAAAAGGGGGAAGAGAAUACUGGAACAAAGAGGAAUUUCUACUAUUUCCUGCUUUGGUAUAUUCACAAAAAUCAGACCUUUUUAGUGAAUGAAUGCCAGUAACAGAUUAUAUAUCCUUAUGUUUAUUAAUUACCUUUCCUUUCUCAUUCAAGCUUUGAUAGCUGCUAUUCUCAAAUAGGUAACAGAUAAACAUAAUGAACUCUUCUGGAUGAAGGCUGAAAGUCACAGAGCUAUGAAAUAAUGCAAUUGAAAAUGGAGGAAGAGUGGUCCCAGUGCUGUCAUACCAGCAGUGAAUGCACAUCAGACAAUGCAAAAUGCUGUACGCUCAACAGAGACAUGGUCCAUAAUACAAGAGCAUAGGAAUUUCAUUUCCAUGCAGAGCUCAAUACAAUUAAAAAAGAAAAAAAAAGAAAAGAAAGAAAAAAGAAAGAAAAAAAAGAGCGGGAUUAUAUGAGUGGUAAUUUGGUGUUAUGGAUAUAUGGAUGAGGUAUUUUCUUAGAAGCCUUAAAAUGAUGAUGAUUGCAGUUUGGUCCAUGACCCGGGGGGGGACUUCCUGCUUCUGCUGGUGAGUUUGCUUGUUUGUUUGUUAUUGCGCACAUUGCUCUAGAGAAGUAGGACUUAGCAAGAAAAAUUAACCUAUUUUACUUUAUUUUUUACUUCUAUAGCGUUGCUAUUGCAAUUCCAUAGAGUUCCAUUAUUUUCUCAUGCAGAAGCACAUUAUAACUUUUAGUUUUCAUUGUUUCAGAUGAAUGUUUAUAUUUUAAAAAUGAUAAUAAUUAUGUUUUUCACUAAAGAAAGUUGUGGGACUUCUCAUUACAACCUCUAUAAAAUGUGAAGAUUUACUCUUCAGCAUGGAGAGAGAGAGAGAGGGGCAUCACAUGCCUCUCCUGCCUUCGUUCAGGGGAAAAGAAAACUUCAUUUUUUAUAUUUUAGGAUAGUCUAUUUUAAGAACUAGUCCAUAGAAGUCCAUGGAGUUUAAUGUCAUUUCUUCAACUGCAAUGCAAAGAGAAACUGAAACAUGAAAAAAAGCACGUGCUGAGAAAUAAUAUUCUGGCAGUGGAGUUCAUUUUCAACAAAAAACAAAUAAUACUGGUCCCCUCACAAA
Molecule: long non-coding RNA, 2048 nt
Organism: Gallus gallus (chicken)
Lineage: Eukaryota; Metazoa; Chordata; Aves; Galliformes; Phasianidae
Source: Ensembl